AUUGAACGCUGGCGGCAGGCCUAACACAUGCAAGUCGAGCGGAUGAAGGGAGCUUGCUCCUGGAUUCAGCGGCGGACGGGUGAGUAAUGCCUAGGAAUCUGCCUGGUAGUGGGGGAUAACGUCCGGAAACGGGCGCUAAUACCGCAUACGUCCUGAGGGAGAAAGUGGGGGAUCUUCGGACCUCACGCUAUCAGAUGAGCCUAGGUCGGAUUAGCUAGUUAGUGGGGUAAAGGCCCACCAAGGCGACGAUCCGUAACUGGUCUGAGAGGAUGAUCAGUCACACUGGAACUGAGACACGGUCCAGACUCCUACGGGAGGCAGCAGUGGGGAAUAUUGGACAAUGGGCGAAAGCCUGAUCCAGCCAUGCCGCGUGUGUGAAGAAGGUCUUCGGAUUGUAAAGCACUUUAAGUUGGGAGGAAGGGCAGUAAGUUAAUACCUUGCUGUUUUGACGUUACCAACAGAAUAAGCACCGGCUAACUUCGUG
Molecule: ribosomal RNA, 484 nt
Filed under: uncultured bacterium
Lineage: Bacteria
Description: partial 16S ribosomal RNA
Rfam family: Bacterial small subunit ribosomal RNA
Source: RNAcentral